Molecule: unclassified non-coding RNA, 345 nt
Filed under: soil metagenome
Description: partial contains 5.8S ribosomal RNA, internal transcribed spacer 2, and large subunit ribosomal RNA
Rfam family: 5.8S ribosomal RNA (bases 1-120)
Source: RNAcentral
GAUGAAGAACGCAGCGAAAUGCGAUACGUAAUGUGAAUUGCAGAAUUCAGUGAAUCAUCGAGUCUUUGAACGCACAUUGCGCCCCCUGGUAUUCCGGGGGGCAUGCCUGUCCGAGCGUCAUUGCUGCCCUCAAGCACGGCUUGUGUGUUGGGCCUCCGUCCUCCUCCCGGGGGACGGGCCCGAAAGGCAGCGGCGGCACCGCGUCCAGUCCUCGAGCGUAUGGGGCUUCGUCACCCGCUCUUGUAGGCCCGGCCGGCGCUUGCCGACACAUCAAUCUUUUUUCCAGGUUGACCUCGGAUCAGGUAGGGAUACCCGCUGAACUUAAGCAUAUCAAUAAGCGGAGGA